Long non-coding RNA from Mobula hypostoma (lesser devil ray), 998 nucleotides. RefSeq lists it as uncharacterized. NCBI's taxonomy places the organism in Eukaryota, Metazoa, Chordata, Chondrichthyes, Myliobatiformes, Myliobatidae. The record is from RefSeq and is a predicted model, not a curated record. The transcript is spliced from 3 exons.
UCAAACAUCAGAACGGGAAGAAAAGUGAUCUAAGUGACUGACCAUGGAAUGACUGUUGGUGCCAGAUGCGGUGGUAAAAAUCUCUAGCAUUUACAGAGAAUGGUGUGAAAAACAAAUAAAACACUCAGUGAGUGGCAGUUCCGUGGGUGAAAAUGCCUUGUUAAUGAGAGAGGUCAGAGGAGAAUGGCCAGACUGGUUCACGCAGACAGGAAGGUGACAGUAACUCAAAUAACCACACGUUACAACAGUGGUGUGCAGAAGAGCAUCUCUGAAUGCACAACACAUCAAACCUUGAAGUGAAUGGACUACAGCAGCAGAAGAUGCAGUCAGGGUAGAAGAUUUGAUUGGAAUGAGGAACAGAAGUCCUGGAAGAUCAGAUUUCCCAGUGGCCCUGCAGAGAUCGUGUGGGUUUCUUGUACAAGCUGCAGGUGCAUCAGAUAGAUUGGAGUCAUUGCAGCUGAGGUAAAUUGCGGAGAUGGACCCACUGUGUUACUUUGCUACUUGGGAAAUUGAAGUUAUUUCCAGCAAUUUGUAAAAAUUUUUGUUUUAAUGCUUGCUGCACGUGAUCAUCAUUUUCUUUAUAACUUUCCAUGUUACAGAGGCAUUAGUCUGGUAAUAAUUCAAAUAUAUUAAGGGUUACAAAAACAGCCAAGAAACUGUGAUUACAGUUAGCAGUAGUGCGAACACUUGAUUUGAGUAUGAUGUUCUCUCAAUUCCCAUUAUGGAGAAUACCUGCGUGUGGCUUUGUUCAACGCGGGGAGGCUGGUCCAUGGGUAGCCACUACACAGUCAUUGACAGGUCGGCGUCAGGGUCCAGUGGCGUGGAGUGCAAGAUGACUGGGGACCCUUCCCUGCUUCAGCCUUCCUCCGCCUUCAUCUGCCACUGUGAUGGGUCAUUGUCUUCUGCCACUUCCACCGCUGAGGCAAACAACAGGAAUUCUGCAGAUGCUGGAAAUUCAAGCAACACACAUCAAAGUUGCUGGUGAAUGCAACAGGCCA